Molecule: unclassified non-coding RNA, 117 nt
Organism: Macaca mulatta (Rhesus monkey)
Lineage: Eukaryota; Metazoa; Chordata; Mammalia; Primates; Cercopithecidae
Rfam family: Metazoan signal recognition particle RNA
About the family: The signal recognition particle (SRP) is a universally conserved ribonucleoprotein. It is involved in the co-translational targeting of proteins to membranes. The eukaryotic SRP consists of a 300-nucleotide 7S RNA and six proteins: SRPs 72, 68, 54, 19, 14, and 9.
Source: Ensembl
GCUGGGUGUGGUGGCUCACACCUGUAAUCCUAGUACUUUAGGAGGCUGAGGCGGGUGGAUCACCUGAGGUCAGGAGUUUAAGACCAGCCUGACCAAUAUGGUGAAACCCCAUCUCUA